UCCGGUUGAUCCUGCCAGAGGUUACUGCUAUCGAGAUUCGACUAAGCCAUGCGAGUUGAAUGUUCUUCGGAACAUGGCGAACUGCUCAUUAACACUUGAACAACCUACCCUUGGUUCCGGCUUACUCCUGGAAAACUGGGAAUAUUUCCCGAUAGGUCACCAAUCCUGAAAUGUCCUAUGGCCGAAAUGCCCUCUCAGAAGUAUGAGUCUCUGCGGCCAUUCAGGUUGUAUGUGGUGUAACGUACCUACUACCCUACUACGGGUACGGUUUGUGAGAGCAAGACCCCAGAUAUGGAUUCUGACACACUAAUCCACGCCCUACGGGGUGCAGCGCGCGCAAAAACUUUACUAUGCGAGAAACCGUGAUAAGGAGAUCUCGAGUGCCAACAUAUAAUGUUGGCUGUCCAGAUGCCUAAAAAUCAUUGUUAGCAAGGGCCGGGCAAUACCGGUGCCAGCCGCCGCGGUAACACCUGCGGCCCGAGUGGUAACCGCUAUUAUUGGGUCUAAAGGGUCUGUACCCGGCCAGGUAAUUCCCUUGGGAAAUCUUGCAGCUCAACUGUCAUGCUGCUAGGGGAUACUGUUUGGCUUGGGACCGGGAGAGGUGAGAGGUACCUUGGGGGUAGAGGUGAAAUCUUGUGAUCCUCGAGGGACCACCAGUGGCGAAGGCGUCUCACCAGAACGGGUCCGACGGUAAGGGACGAAAGCUAGGGGCACGAACCGGAUUAGAUACCCGGGUAGUCCUAGCCGUAAACGAUGCUCGCUAGGUGUCAGUCACGGCGCGACUGUGAUUGGUGCCGCAGGGAAGCCGUGAAGCGAGCCACCUGGGAAGUAUGGUCGCAAGGCUGAAACUUAAAGGAAUUGGCGGGGGAGCACUACAACGGGUGGAGCCUGCGGUUUAAUUGGAUUCAACGCCGGAAAUCUCACCGGGGGCGACAGCGAUAUGAAGGUCAGGCUGAAGACUUUGCUGGAUUAGCUGAGAGGAGGUGCAUGGCCGUCGUCAGUUCGUACUGUGAAGCAUCCUGUUUAGUCAGGCAACGAGCGAGACCCACAUCCACAGUUGCCAGCAUAUUCUCCGGAAUGAUGGGUACACUGUGGAGACCGCCGCUGCUAAAGCGGAGGAAGGAGUGGGCAACGGUAGGUCAGUAUGCCCCGAAUCUUCCGGGCUACACGCGGGCUACAAUGGUCGGUACAAUGGGCAUCUGCCCCGAAAGGGGAAGGAAAUCUCUUAAAACCAUUCGUAGUUUGGAUUGAGGGGUGCAACUUGCCCUCCUGAAGGUGGAAUCCGUAGUAAUUGGGUUUCAACAGAAGGGGGGGAAUAAGUUCCUGGUCCUUGCACACCCCGCCCGUCAAACCACUCGAGUAGGGUCUGGAUGAGGGUGUGUUUAUUGACACAUUCGAAUCUGGGCUUUGCAAGGGGGGUU
Molecule: ribosomal RNA, 1421 nt
Filed under: uncultured Methanosaeta sp.
Lineage: Archaea; Methanobacteriati; Methanobacteriota; Methanomicrobia; Methanotrichales; Methanotrichaceae
Description: bacterial SSU rRNA
Rfam family: Archaeal small subunit ribosomal RNA
Source: RNAcentral